Molecule: ribosomal RNA, 696 nt
Filed under: Koenigia mollis
Lineage: Eukaryota; Viridiplantae; Streptophyta; Magnoliopsida; Caryophyllales; Polygonaceae
Description: eukaryotic LSU rRNA
Rfam family: 5.8S ribosomal RNA (bases 287-437)
Source: RNAcentral
CCCGGGUCCGAUGCGUAGGUGACCUGCGGAGGAUCAUUGUCGAAACCUGCACAAGCAGAAAGACCCGUGAACUCGUUUACAAACACCGGGCGGACGGCGUUUGGCCACAAACCGACGACGUCCCCCGAGCUUGGUAGGAUCCCGGCUCCCAGUGAGUCGGUCUCCUCCCAACCACAAACAAACCCCGGCCCGAAUUGCCCCAAGGACCAUGAACAAUAGCGCGUCCCACGCCCCUCGGUUGCCCAAAUUGCGCGUGGGUCGCCUUGUCUUUUCAAUACAUUAAAACGACUCUGGGCAACGGAUAUCUCGGCUCUCGCAUCGAUAAAGACGUAGCAAAUGCGAUACUUGGGUGUGAAUUGCAGAAUCCGUGAACAUCGAGUCUUUGAACGCAAUUGCGCCCGAAGCCUUCGGGCCAGGGCACGUCUGCCUGGGCGUCACGCACCGCGUCGCCCCCACCCCAACCACUGGGAUCGGGGGCGGACUGUGGCCCCCGUGCGCUGCUCGCUCGCGGUCGGCUUAAACACAGACCCCGUGGCCGGCGAAAUGGCACGACGUUGGUGUUUACUCGUGUCUUGUGCUCGAGCAUCGCGUCGUGUCUGGCGGCAUGAGCUCAAGACCUGAGAGACAUCGUCACCUCAGUGCGCAGACUCUACGUUGCGACCAGUCAGCGGACUACGCUGAUAGCAUCAGGCGAGA